Humulus lupulus (European hop) is the source of this 507-nucleotide long non-coding RNA. RefSeq lists it as uncharacterized. The transcript is spliced from 3 exons. The record is from RefSeq and is a predicted model, not a curated record. NCBI's taxonomy places the organism in Eukaryota, Viridiplantae, Streptophyta, Magnoliopsida, Rosales, Cannabaceae.
UAAAGAAAACCUAGCAGCCAUUGCCUCUCUCACGCAGCAGCUAAGAACCAACCUCUCCAUUUCCCUCUUUCUAUUUCUCUUCAGCUCAACGACAACUUCAUAGUACCAUAAACUCUCUCUCAAUGGCAUGACAGACUCACCCCACCCAUGAUCAGCACAGAUCCACCCAACAGACGCUGCCUCUAAAGACGAAGAACCCCCUGCAGAUGUUGCAUUUGAAGACGAAGCGACCAAAGGAUAUUCAAAUUUGUCAAGGCAUUUGGUUCUCGAACUUGGGAAGGUGAAGCAUCUACAGUAACUACAAUAUAAAUUAAGGGCAAGGCAGCAGCAAGAAGAAGACCAAGACCCACGACAACCAUUGUCGAUUGAUGGAUUCAAGCAUUCUAUUUUGUUUAUUUUUUUUCUAUCACCAUCUACUUAGGUAUAUGGAAGAUUAUCUAUUAAGUAGUAUGGAUGACAAAAAUAACUUUAAUAUUUUGGAUAGUUAAGUACCAUUACAUGGGUUUU